This is a long non-coding RNA of Ictalurus furcatus (blue catfish), 1776 nucleotides long. RefSeq lists it as uncharacterized. NCBI's taxonomy places the organism in Eukaryota, Metazoa, Chordata, Actinopteri, Siluriformes, Ictaluridae. The record is from RefSeq and is a predicted model, not a curated record. The transcript has 2 exons.
GAUCUCAUAGAUUUUCUCUCUUUUCUCAGCUUCAAAAUGGUGACGCUUUUCUCCCACAGACAUUUAUCUGAUCUUCAUGUUAGUUUAUCCUUUUUAACAACAAAUGCAAAUGAUAGCUAAACCCAAGAGUAGCUGUUCAGAACUAUUUAUUGUUUAAACAUAUAAUCUAACAGAAACACCCGUCCAUCAAAUGCAGCAAUAUUUUAUUUAUUUUAUGUCGUUUAACACAUCUACAUAUAAAUACCAGCAAAUAAAAGCGGACAUUGUAAUCUCUCCUCAUUUUCCUCUUUUGAUCUCAAACCCACAUGUCUUCAGUCUACAGCAAAAACGAAUGAAUUGGCCUUGCCAAGUAUUUUCGGUUCAAUAGCUGCUAUGACGUAAGCGAGAACAGGAAUAAACUUGCUUCACAGACAUUAAAUGCAACUAUAAACAGAUAAAAAAAAUAUGUUGUUCUUUAAAAAGUAAAAUAAUUGUAAUUACUGGUGAAAUGAUGUGGUGUAAGAGGAAUAAAACACAUGCUGUUAUAGGAAAUAAUAACAUUCAGGGUGGUGAGCGAUGCCACAUAUUAUUUUUCUGUAACAGCACAGCCUGAGUGUUUCAUUCUUUACAUUUCUGUGCACUUAAAAUCUAAAGUUCAAUGUUUAGUUAGGAAUGUUGAAUAAAACAGUAAACAAUAAAUAUGUGCCAUACAGCAGCUCAGUUUUUUCUGUAAAACAAGUGAGAUGAGUUAUUGAGGCCGGUUUUGUUUAACAGGAGUGAAAAUGCGGGUCACACUGCUGCUCGUCUGUCUGUUGGCUCUGGGUUUGGCCGCGCCGGUAAGAGUUCCUCACCGAGGUCAAGUACAUUAAACAUUAACACUGUGCUCUGACUGAAUCACUUCACUCCUGUCUUCUCUCUGAUCUGAUGUGUUUACUCAGCUGCACAAACACCGAGUGACGCGUUCAGAGAGCUCAGAGGAUGAUGGGGUACACACACACACACACAUACACAGUAUAUACAAGUCACUAGUCCAGCCACUAGCCCACUGAGACCUGGCAUCUUUUUCAGGGUGAUUCUGAAGAUGGCAGCAAUGAAGGAAGAGAGAGGGACAGAGGAAAUGGAGGAGAAGAAGAGGAAGAAGAAGAAGGAGAAGGACAAGAAGGAGAAGAAGGAGAAGAAGAAGGAGGAGAAGCAGAAGCAGGAGAGGGAGGAAACAAGGAAGAGGGAGCGCAGGGUGGAGGAGAAGAAGAAGAAGGAGGUGAAGGAGAAGCAGGAAACAGAGAAAAUAAUGAAGGAGUAGCAGAAGGAGGAGAAGAGGAUGGUGGAGAAGGUGAAGGAGAGAGGCGUGAAAGAGAGACAGAGCGCAGAAAGAGAGAUCAAAGUAAUGAGGAGGGAAGUGAAGAGGGAGACAGCGCUGAGGACGAGGACGGAGGAGGAAAAGACAUGAAUAAGAUUGAAGGUGAUGAAGAGGGAGGUGAAGGACUCAGUGAUGGAGAUGAAGAGGAAGGUAAUGGAGGAGAAGAAGACGGAGGAGAACUCUAAAUAGAUCAUCUAAUCAUCUAACACGUGAAGUAACACAGCUGAUGUAACAGUCCUGAUGUAACACACCUGAAUGUUACCUGUGAGAUGGGAGCUGAGCGACAGAGCCCCGCCCAGUCACACGUAUAAAGGCGACGCUGUUUACUUUGCUGUAUGUUUAUAAUCACCUCGUUUUAUUUUCUCCAGUGUAAUUGAAACUGUAGCUGUAUCUUGACAUGUUCUGUAUCACAUGUGUAAAUAAAUGUAUAAACACUCUGA